AACGAACGCUGGCGGCAUGCCUAACACAUGCAAGUCGAACGAGACCUUCGGGUCUAGUGGCGCACGGGUGCGUAACGCGUGGGAACCUGCCCUUAGGUUCGGAAUAACUCCCCGAAGGGGGUGCUAAUACCGGAUAAUGUCUUCGGACCUAAGAUUUAUCGCCUUUGGAUGGGCCCGCGUUGGAUUAGCUAGUUGGUAGGGUAAAAGCCUACCAAGGCGACGAUCCAUAGCUGGUCUGAGAGGAUGAUCAGCCACACUGGGACUGAGACACGGCCCAGACUCCUACGGGAGGCAGCAGUGGGGAAUAUUGGACAAUGGGCGAAAGCCUGAUCCAGCAAUGCCGCGUGAGUGAUGAAGGCCUUAGGGUUGUAAAGCUCUUUUACCCGGGAUGAUAAUGACAGUACCGGGAGAAUAAGCUCCGGCUAACUCCGUG
This 433-nucleotide ribosomal RNA is filed under the name uncultured bacterium. RNAcentral describes it as "partial 16S ribosomal RNA". It matches the Rfam family "Bacterial small subunit ribosomal RNA", at positions 29 to 507 of the family's 1533-position model. The record is from RNAcentral.